This 400-nucleotide ribosomal RNA is filed under the name Kocuria sp. RNAcentral's name for it is "bacterial SSU rRNA". It matches the Rfam family "Bacterial small subunit ribosomal RNA", at positions 337 to 746 of the family's 1533-position model. Lineage: Bacteria; Bacillati; Actinomycetota; Actinomycetes; Micrococcales; Micrococcaceae. The record is from RNAcentral.
UCCUACGGGGGGGCUGCAGUGGGGAAUAUUGCACAAUGGGCGGAAGCCUGAUGCAGCGACGCCGCGUGAGGGAUGACGGCCUUCGGGUUGUAAACCUCUUUCAGCAGGGAAGAAGCCACAAGUGACGGUACCUGCAGAAGAAGCGCCGGCUAACUACGUGCCAGCAGCCGCGGUAAUACGUAGGGCGCAAGCGUUGUCCGGAAUUAUUGGGCGUAAAGAGCUCGUAGGCGGUUUGUCGCGUCUGCUGUGAAAGCCCGGGGCUCAACCCCGGGUCUGCAGUGGGUACGGGCAGACUAGAGUGCAGUAGGGGAGACUGGAAUUCCUGGUGUAGCGGUGAAAUGCGUUAGAUAUCAGGAGGAACACCGAUGGCGAAGGCAGGUCUCUGGGCUGUUACUGACGC